AGUUUUAUAGUCAAUCAUGAUUUUAAAUUGCAAAUUUAAAGGUAGUAAAUUUACUUGAAACUU
Molecule: transfer RNA, 63 nt
Filed under: Emeia pseudosauteri
Lineage: Eukaryota; Metazoa; Arthropoda; Insecta; Coleoptera; Lampyridae
Description: tRNA-Cys
Source: RNAcentral